GAGUUUGAUCGUGGCUCAGGAUGAACGCUGGCGGCGUGCCUAAUACAUGCAAGUCGAGCGAACGGACGAGAAGCUUGCUUCUCUGAUGUUAGCGGCGGACGGGUGAGUAACACGUGGAUAACCUACCUAUAAGACUGGGAUAACUUCGGGAAACCGGAGCUAAUACCGGAUAAUAUUUUGAACCGCAUGGUUCAAAAGUGAAAGACGGUCUUGCUGUCACUUAUAGAUGGAUCCGCGCUGCAUUAGCUAGUUGGUAAGGUAACGGCUUACCAAGGCAACGAUGCAUAGCCGACCUGAGAGGGUGAUCGGCCACACUGGAACUGAGACACGGUUCAGACUCCUACGGGAGGCAGCAGUAGGGAAUCUUCCGCAAUGGGCGAAAGCCUGACGGAGCAACGCCGCGUGAGUGAUGAAGGUCUUCGGAUCGUAAAACUCUGUUAUUAGGGAAGAACAUAUGUGUAAGUAACUGUGCACAUCUUGACGGUACCUAAUCAGAAAGCCACGGCUAACUACGUCG
Molecule: ribosomal RNA, 517 nt
Filed under: uncultured microorganism
Description: bacterial SSU rRNA
Rfam family: Bacterial small subunit ribosomal RNA
Source: RNAcentral